This 1653-nucleotide long non-coding RNA is filed under the name Homo sapiens (human). Its description in RNAcentral is "HSALNT0125911". The record is from RNAcentral. Lineage: Eukaryota; Metazoa; Chordata; Mammalia; Primates; Hominidae.
UUAAGAACUGGUUCCAACCGUUAAACAGCUUCAGGGCUAUUGGGAAAGAGACACAUAAAUGUUUACUUCAGUAUAACCUGUUAAGGCAGCAGACUGUUCCCAGGGCUCAAUAAGAAUACUGAGAAUUCUCAUGCCACUAUGAAGAAAUACCUGAGACUGGGUAAUUUAUAAACCAAAAGAUUUAAUUGACUCAGUUUCGCAUGGUUUGGGAGACCUCAGGAAACUUACAGUUGUGGUGGAAGGCACCUCUUUACAGGGUUGCAGGAGAGAGAAUGAGUGCCAAGCAAAGGGGGGAAAGCCCCUUGUAAAACCAUCAGAUCUCAUAAGAACUCACUAUCACAAGAACAGCAUGGGAGUAACCGCCCCCAUGAUUCCGUUGUCUCUCACCGGGUCCUUCCCAUGACAUGUGGGGAUUAUGGGAACUACAAUUUAAGAUGAGAUUUGGGUAGUGACACGGUCAAACCAUAUCAAAAGGUAACUUGAUCUUGAGCUAUGGGAUUGGGGCAGUGGCACGACUAGUGGAAGGAGUCUGGCCCAGCAGGUAGGGGCUGUGUCAUGGUGGGUCUUAGGCGCCUUGCUGAAGGGUAUGCACCUUAACUGAAGGGUUUUAAGUCAGGAAGCAGCAUGACUAGGUUUUCGAUAUAGAAAGAUCUCUCUAUGGUCUGAAUGUGCCCCCCAAAAUUGAUGUGUUGGAUACAAUCUCUAAUGCAUCAGUGUUGGAAGGUUGGGUCCUUGGGGAGGUAUUUUCAUCACAAGGGCUCUGCCCUCAUAAAUGGAUUAAUGCUGCCAUAAAAAGAGGUUUGGGGAGUGGGUUCACUCUCUCUUGCUCUUCUGCUCUUUUGCCAUAUAAGAACAUAGCAUUCCUCACCUUUGAAGGACACAGCAUUCAAAGAGCCAUCUUGGAAGCAGAGAAACCAGGCCGUAACCUGCCAGCACUUUGAUCUUGGACUUCCUAGCGUCUAGAACUGUGAGAAAUACAUUUCCGUCCUGUUCUUCUAGUCUCAGGAAUUCCCUUACAGCAACACAAAAUGGACUAAAACACUGCUUGCAGUAUGGAGGAUGGGUUCCAACUGAACUACCAGGAUGUCCAGACGAGACAGGCUGGGGAUGGGCUAGGACUAGAGGAAUACAUAGAAGGUAAAAUUAGUGGGGUUGGGACGGAAAAAGGGAGUUGUGCCAUAUUGCACAUAGACUUGUGGUAUGGGUGUCUGGAAAAACACCUGAGAUUGGUAAUUCAAGAGGAGUGUUUUGAGGUGUGUGAGUCUGUCUGUAAGGAGAAUGUAUGUCCAACAUACAAAUUAUGUUGUAGAAGCUUAAGAAAGAAGCAUUACAGAAAGAAGCAACUAUUUAACCUACUCUCAAAAGGUUCAACAAAGCCCAGAAGACUUGACCAUGUUCAUAGGCAGAGAAGAAAGAUCAGCAAAAAGUAAAAAAAAAAAAAAGACAAAAGGAAAACCAGGAGAAUUGUUAGAGAAAAUUAUGACAAGGGGACAAGUCUGAAGCUCCUGUGGAGGAUGGCCCCAGCUGCCACAAGGGGAGUGUAAAAGGAGGUGAGAAAAUACAACCUCAUGUAAAGAACAAAAUUACAUCAUGUACCACGUAUUUAUUUUUAAGGGCAUCAUUAAAGCUCUCCUUUUAUAAUGUAAAUGAAAC